This 465-nucleotide ribosomal RNA is filed under the name uncultured bacterium. RNAcentral describes it as "partial 16S ribosomal RNA". It matches the Rfam family "Bacterial small subunit ribosomal RNA", at positions 338 to 795 of the family's 1533-position model. The record is from RNAcentral.
CCUACGGGAGGCAGCAGUGGGGAAUAUUGCGCAAUGGGCGAAAGCCUGACGCAGCGACGCCGCGUGAGGGAUGAAGGUCUUCGGAUCGUAAACCUCUGUCAGCAGGGAAGAACGGUCACUGUGCUAAUCAGCAGUGAAUUGACGGUACCUGCAAAGGAAGCACCGGCUAACUCCGUGCCAGCAGCCGCGGUAAUCCGGAGGGUGCGAGCGUUAAUCGGAAUUACUGGGCGUAAGGCGCUCGUAGGCGGUAUGUCAAGUCAAGGGUGAAAUCCCCGCGCUCAACGUGGGAACUGCCUUUGAAACUGGCAAACUGGAGUGUGUGAGAGGAUAGUGGAAUUCCAGGUGUAGGAGUGAAAGCCGUAGAUAUCUGGAGGAACAUCAGUGGCGAAGGCGACUAUCUGGCACAUAACUGACGCUGAGGAGCGAAAGCGUGGGUAGCAAACAGGAUUAGAUACCCCAGUAGUC